Sesamum indicum (sesame) is the source of this 5284-nucleotide non-coding RNA. Lineage: Eukaryota; Viridiplantae; Streptophyta; Magnoliopsida; Lamiales; Pedaliaceae. The record is from RefSeq and is a predicted model, not a curated record.
AACAAGAGUUAAAAAUUGUGAGAGAAAGUUGAGUAGGUAAGAUCUAUUUAUACGUGAAGACAUUGAAGAAAUGGGAAUGAUUUGGGGAUUGGGUCUUAACGGCUAAGAAUGGGUUUUUCACUUGACCUAGACAUAAUUAAUCUAAUUUAAUAGAUUUGAGUCUGGAUCUAGACCCGAUUCAAAUUACGAGUCUGGGCUAGGCGAGCACUUGGGUUGGGCUAUUUACUUCAUGGUCCACACUAGGUUCCCGGUCAAAAUCACGGGAAUGACAGUGCUUCAAGCCUGUGAGAAUGCGGGUGUUGAUAUCCUAAGGUUUUGCUAUCACAGCCGCCUCUCUGUCACCAAAAACUAUUGCAUGUGCAUUGUUGUGUUCGAAAAAUCGCCCAAGCCGGUCUCCGCUUCAACCAUGUCUGCACCCAGGAGAUACAAAUAUAAAAAGCAAACAAGAGUACAAAAUGGUCAUGGUUGUGCGUCGUAGAAGCCUGAUACCUUGUAGUUUUUACAUGUUAAACAACGUUAUUACGUCACAGCAAACGUCUACAGACCAAUUGCAAAUCCCAUGUAGUUAGGCUGUGCAGGUUGGCAACUAUUGGACCAACUUUUUUGAGGGUUAGUCUUAAAUCUUCCAAAUCGAGGACCACAAGACUGGACAUUAAGAGUCCUAUAGAGACUUAUGCAUUCAUUGGAUGAGUGUCGUAUUUCAUCGGUAGAUAUAAUGUUAGAAUAGGUUACCAGAAAUUCAAUUGAAUUGGUCUUUAUGUAAUCUGUUUUGAUCAUUUCAAUGUGAUUGUAAUAUUGGUUAUGAAUAAAGUAAGUAUUCAUUAUUUGGAUAUUUAUUGUGCCUAUUAAUAUGUUUAUAUGUUCAACACUACAACAAAGCCCAUAGACCAAUUGAAUAACCCAUAUAGUUGGACUGCGUAUUGGAUGGUAGCUAUGAAACCAAUAUCUGAGGGUUGGUUUGAAAUGUUUCAAGUCGAGGACACUGGGCAUCGAGAGUCAUAUAGAGACUGUAUUCAUGAGCUGAAAAGAUAGCUCGAUAUGAGAAACUCAUUAAUUGGAUUUUCUAAUAAAAAAAAGAUCAAAAUAUAACCUGGAAAAGAUUUUUGUUUCCUGAAAGAUCACAAAGUUAUCUGAAAAAGCUAGUUUGAUCUGAGAAAGAUCGAUAAUUGGACCUUUUUUUAUUCAAAAAAUCAUAGUUCGAUCUAAGAGAGUUCGGCAAUCGGAUUUUCUGAUUUGAAAGAUCAUAAAUCUUGAAAGAUUCCUUCGAUCUAUGAAAGAUCAUAAGUUAUCUGAAAAAGAUUCUUCGAUCUGAGAAAGAUUGUUAAUUGGAUUUGUCGAUCUAAAAAAAAUCAAAGGUUCUCGAUUUAUGAAAGAGCAUUAAGUACUUAUGGCUUUCGAUUAGCAAAAGAUAAUUUCAUGAUUUCGUACAUCAAUUACAUAAGAUCGGAAGGCCAUCCAGUCGACAAAAGGGAAACACAAAAGAGAAAGGAUGGCUAUGCUAUUGAAAGUAGAAUUCAAAAUCCUACCGAUUCCUAACCCAUACGCUUAACCUCAUCGAUCAAACAAGCAAAUUCAUCUUUAGCAAGAAGGGGAGCAUCUUCUUUAGGUUAGGGUUCAAGGUUUCCAUAAAAGGAGGGGUCAAGGUGCUCUUGGUGAAACCCUUCAACGAAGUCGUUGAGCUUCACCACUUGCAACCUAUAUUUCUCAAAACUAUCGUUGAGAAAAUCAGCAGCCUUGGUCUCUAUUGUAACUUGGACAGUUGGGGCUUUUAGACAGUCGCGGGUUCCCUGCAAACGGGCUUCAGAGAUGGUCUUUCGAUACUCCAUCGACUGAAGAUACGCCUCGCUACAAGCAAUAAUACCCUCAGCUUUACCUACAGAGAAGCCUUCAUCCUAAGGCAAUCACACUAGUUUUUUCCACUUCAGCAGUACUCUGCUGGAGCCAAAGUUCGAGGUUAGCCAUAUCCUUCAGAAUCUGUUGAAGUUCGCGAACCUUGGCAUCUGCCAUUAGUUUUUCAUAACACCACACCGAACACUUCAGGGAAAAAUUGUCCCCAAAAGCAGCAGCUGGAAAAAUAAAGGAUUAGCAAGACUUAAUGUUACAACCAGAAAUCAUAGUAUGUACGCAUAAGAGCAAAGGCACACCUACAUAAGACCAUGGGCAUGAUGCUCCUCGACUGUCUUGUGAGCAGCUUGGGUUAAUGAGACUUGAUUGCAAUCUAAACAACAAGCCUAGUACAUCUCCUAGGAAUCUUAGCCUACAUGUGACUGAAGACCGAGAUAGAAGAACAAAUGGCCUGAUUGGGAACCAAGUUUUCUCCCACCAUUUCAGCAGCCCUACAACUAGGCGACUUCAAUGCCAUGUGAGCCUCCUUCCAACAUCCCACAUACUCCUUCAAUGCACCCCCAUUCUCUUCCUCUUCGGCACGACUUGCCGCCUCUCUAGCCAAUCUGCUUUCCGAACGCGAUUUACUUCGUGUGUUGGACUUGCUAGAACCCAAGCUUUUACUGCAUUGUUUAUGCUUUCUCUUGCGUUUUCUAGGCUUGCUCGGUUCCCCAGCGACAGCAACAGCAUCUAUCCUUCGACCUCUCGCGAAUUCCUGGUGAACCAGACUUAGCGAUGUAUUCCUUAGUUCGAGCUGCGGUAUGGGUAACUGUUGCUAGCAGUCUCGGCUUCACAAAGAGGUUUGGACUUAACAAGAUCUGUAGGUUCUAUAGAGGCCGUGCUUUCUUUGGGAGUAGAAGAAUCUUCAACCUCAACUUGUGCCAUAACAACAUCGGCAGGAAGUAUCCCUCUUUUAGCCUGAAAUUGAUUAGCAAUUCCAGCCUGCAUCAAUAUACUUCCUGAAGAAAAAUGUUAAUAUUAGAACUCAUGAAAAUAGAGGAAAAAGGAACCAAAUAUAUUAUGUUGAUGAUGAAAAGCGAAUCACCUAAUGGAUCGCUAACUGGGAGGGAUCUUGGAGAGAGUCGGACAAACUUGAAGACAUUCUCUACGAGAAACUGCACAGCUAACAGUAAAAGCACAAAUAGCUUGUCAAGUCCAACAAGAAGAUCUUGACACGGUUCGGGCCGCAAUCAGGAGUACCAUGCUAACUUCUAGCUCGUUAUGGCAUAGCCUUAUGGAACCAAUUCGAAAGGCAUUGCCAUUAGUGAUGACUCGCGAGUUUAGAGAGUAGGAUUCUACACCUGUGCUCAGAGUAUAGGCUCUACACCUGUAGCGGCAGAUUCAAGUACAACUUGAACGAGAUCAUCGUCAAACUCUACUGAAAAGGCAACAAUUGAGUCACAAGAAGUGUAAGCUCCUGAUGUUUCAAGUUAACCCCUGCUCCUCUGGGGUUAAAAAAUGAGAGGUUAGCCUUAGGACAAUGACCAACACUUCUAAGGUUAAUACUAACGAUUUGAUAUUUUCAUCUUCUACUUGGCAGGUCUAUCAGCAGAUGUGGGAAAAAUUAGUUUCCCACAAAGGAGUAAAUCUAGGCAAGACUAUAAUCGAAUCAUCCAAAAAAUAUAACCAAGCCUGGAUGCUUGAGGGAUAUAAACUCAAAGAUGUCAAAAAAUGGUAUGAUUUAAGAGCCCUGGCUUCGGUUCAUACUGUGUCAUUGAGUUUUUCAGAAAUCUAAAAGCUUUUGUAAUGGAUUAGUGGGCUAGUAUACAACACAUGACAAAACAAACCCCACAUAAAACAAGGAGAUAUCCUAGAGCUAAAAUUCAUCUCAACUGCUCCAGAAAUCUCAGGAAAAGGGUCUCACCCAAUUUUACUUUAUGGAGCUGCAAAGAUUAGACAUGGUAGCUUUCAACAAAAUCAAAGCUGUCACAAGAGAAGCUCCCCUGGUAUCAUCUAUUAGCAAGGAUGACAUCUCUACUAGAAGGGCUUAAGCAUUAUGGAUCUUUCUCACGGAGAUGGACAAAGGUACUUCCAUUUAAAAUAUUUUCAAACAAAUCAAAUGGAUCGUUCAUGUUAAACUCCAUGACAGGAAAGAGUACUGAGUUUCCAGAAAGCUUGUUCGAGAAGAAAAGAAUGCUUAUAUUGGAGAAUAAGCUACCUGCAACGGAGACUAAGAGGAUGAAGACAUGCAAUAUUUUGCAUGUGGGGCAAUGGCAUAACCAUGUAUGCCCUUGCGCGAAAACAAUAAAAGUCCUUGUUUGAAACCAAGAUUCGGGUAACCCAAAAGACAUCCUAACCAAAACCCGACAAGUGUAAAAAGUAGGAUUUUUUACAAGAAGAGGUAAAAUCCUCAAAAUGUAAAAAAUCAAAAGUUGAACUGUCGACAAAAAAAAAAAAUAAGCCAAUAGUCAGGAAGAAGUGAUAACCAACUAGCAAGCACAUGGUUGACAAGUUAUCAUGACCAACAUCAUCCGAAACAAGUUUGAAGUCUGGGAUUGAAGUCCGUCGCUAUUAUACAUAAGAAGGAUAGGAAUCAGAUGGGGGACAUCAUAAAACUUCUCCAACUCUUCAUUUCAAUGAUAUUUUGAGUCUUCUCAGAGUUUUGUGUUUUAAAUUUUCUAGCGUAUGGGGAUUUCCCCAUAGAGUCAAGUCCUCUUUUUCAUGAAGGGCUAAAUAGUUGUCUCCACAUAUAGAGGAACAAAUAUCUAUGUAAUAUUUUACAUAUUUCUUCAAUAAAGUAAAUGCUUCUGUUCAACUUGUCCACCCAAAAUUUUAUUAAGUCUAUGUUCUGGAGUUUUUCUAUGCUUUAAGGUAGGAAACAAAAUAGGGUUAUGGUAAUUGUUGUUGAAUGAGCCAAGUGCCUAUGAAUCAUCUACUGUGAUAGUGUAGUUGGUGGAAAUCCGUAAAGCAGAGGAUUUGAAUACCUGGGAGCAAUACAGUCAAAUAAAAGAUGAAUUUAUGGUGGUUUAAUUUAAUUUCGAAAGUAUGUUAGACCUAAUUUUGAGCAUAUGAGAUUGUUUAUCAAGAAAAGCAAAAUAAUCUGAUUACAAGACUAAUAGUGUUAAAAUUCUGGAAACUUUAGGACUAUAAAUGUCAACCAAGUAAAGUAGGGGACUAAUAAUGAGAAUGGUCUUAUCUAAUAGGAUAAAAGAAGCAAUUAAACCUUUAAAUUAUUUUAAAUUAUCUUUGAAAUAAAUUCAAUGCAUGUUUUAUUUCCACAACAUAUUUUAUUUAUCUUUAUUUUUCUCUAUCUAUCCGCACAAAAAUAUAACAAAACACACAAAAAGCAAAAAAAAAAAAAAAAUGAAUCCACCCACGAUGAUGCAAUUUUGCCGCUCAAGAAUUAGCAAAAUGCAUAUGGACCUUAAAACAAAAUUCUUGUGAUCUUGUCCCUCGAACC